UACGUAGGGGGCAAGCGUUGUCCGGAAUCAUUGGGCGUAAAGCGCGUGUAGGCGGCCAGAAAAGUCCGCUGUGAAAACUCGAGGCUCAACUUCGAGCUGUCGGUGGAAACUUUCUGGCUAGAGUCCGGAAGAAGAGAAUGGAAUUCCUGGUGUAGCGGUGAAAUGCGCAGAUAUCAGGAAGAACACCCGUGGCGAAGGCGGUUCUCUGGGACGGUACUGACGCUGAGACGCGAAAGCGUGGGGAGCGAACAGG
Molecule: ribosomal RNA, 253 nt
Filed under: uncultured bacterium
Lineage: Bacteria
Description: partial 16S ribosomal RNA
Rfam family: Bacterial small subunit ribosomal RNA
Source: RNAcentral